GACGAACGCUGGCGGCGUGCUUAACACAUGCAAGUCGAACGGAAAGGCCCUGCUUUUGUGGGGUGCUCGAGUGGCGAACGGGUGAGUAACACGUGAGUAACCUGCCCUUGACUGUGGGAUAACUUCAGGAAACUGGGGCUAAUACCGGAUAGGAGCUCCUGCUGCAUGGUGGGGGUUGGAAAGUUUCGGCGGUUGGGGAUGGACUCGCGGCUUAUCAGCUUGUUGGUGGGGUAGUGGCUUACCAAGGCUUUGACGGGUAGCCGGCCUGAGAGGGUGACCGGCCACAUUGGGACUGCGAUACGGCCCAGACUCCUACGGGAGGCAGCAGUGGGGAAUAUUGCACAGUGGGCGGAAGCCUGAUGCAGCAACGCCGCGUGCGGGAUGACGGCCUUCGGGUUGUAAACCGCUUUCGCCUGUGCCGAAGCGUGAGUGACGGUAAUGGGUAAAGAAGCACCGGCUAACUACGUG
RNAcentral lists this ribosomal RNA (468 nucleotides) under uncultured bacterium. RNAcentral describes it as "partial 16S ribosomal RNA". It matches the Rfam family "Bacterial small subunit ribosomal RNA", at positions 28 to 507 of the family's 1533-position model. The record is from RNAcentral.